AUUGAACGCUGGCGGUAUGCUUAACACAUGCAAGUCGAACGGUAGCAGGCCUUCGGGCGCUGACGAGUGGCGGACGGGUGAGUAACGCGUAGGAAUCUGCCUGUUAGUGGGGGACAACUUAGGGAAACUUAAGCUAAUACCGCAUACGCCCUACGGGGGAAAGGAGGGGACCUUCGGGCCUUCCGCUAACAGAUGAGCCUGCGUUGGAUUAGCUAGUUGGUAAGGUAAAGGCCUACCAAGGCGACGAUCCAUAGCUGGUCUGAGAGGACGAUCAGCCACACUGGGACUGAGACACGGCCCAGACUCCUACGGGAGGCAGCAGUGGGGAAUAUUGGACAAUGGGCGCAAGCCUGAUCCAGCAAUACCGCGUGUGUGAAGAAGGCCCGAGGGUUGUAAAGCACUUUCAAUAGGGAGGAACACCUGCUGAUUAAUACUUGGCAGACUGACAUUACCUAUACAAGAAGCACCGGCUAACUCCGUGCCAGCAGCCGCGGUAA
This 497-nucleotide ribosomal RNA is filed under the name uncultured bacterium. RNAcentral describes it as "partial 16S ribosomal RNA". It matches the Rfam family "Bacterial small subunit ribosomal RNA", at positions 30 to 523 of the family's 1533-position model. The record is from RNAcentral.